RNAcentral lists this ribosomal RNA (759 nucleotides) under uncultured Acidobacteriota bacterium. Its description in RNAcentral is "bacterial SSU rRNA". It matches the Rfam family "Bacterial small subunit ribosomal RNA", at positions 8 to 762 of the family's 1533-position model. The record is from RNAcentral. Lineage: Bacteria; Pseudomonadati; Acidobacteriota.
AGAGUUUGAUCCUGGCUCAGAGUGACGCUGGCGGCAUGCCUAACACAUGCAAGUCGAACGGUAACAGGCCCGCAAGGGUGCUGACGAGUGGCGGACGGGUGAGGAACACAUCGGAAUUUGCCCAUGUCGUGGGGGAUAACGUAGGGAAACUUACGCUAAUACCGCAUACGACCUAACGGUGAAAGCGGGGGAUCGCAAGACCUCGCGCGAUUGGAUGAGCCGAUGUCGGAUUAGCUAGUUGGCGGGGUAAUGGCCCACCAAGGCGACGAUCGGUAGCCGGCCUGAGAGGGCGGACGGCCACACUGGAACUGAGACACGGUCCAGACUCCUACGGGAGGCAGCAGUGGGGAAUUGUUCACAAUGGGCGCAAGCCUGAUGACGCAACGCCGCGUGGGGGAUGAAGGUCUUCGGAUUGUAAACCCCUGUCGAACGGGACGAAAGACCCGGGAGCUAAUCAUCCUGGGAGUGACGGUACCGUUAAAGGAAGCCACGGCUAACUCUGUGCCAGCAGCCGCGGUAAUACAGAGGUGGCAAGCGUUGUUCGGAAUUACUGGGCGUAAAGGGCGCGUAGGCGGCCCUCUAAGUCAGACGUGAAAUCCCCCGGCUUAACCUGGGAACUGCGUCUGAUACUGGAGGGCUUGAGUAUGGGAGAGGGAUGUAGAAUUCCAGGUGUAGCGGUGAAAUGCGUAGAUAUCUGGAGGAAUACCGGUGGCGAAGGCGGCAUCCUGGACCAUUACUGACGCUGAUGCGCGAAAGCUA